GAUGAACGCUGGCGGCGUGCCUAAUACAUGCAGUCGAGCGAACGGACGAGAAGCUUGCUUCUCUAAUGUUAGCGGCGGACGGGUGAGUAACACGUUGAUAACCUACCUAUAAGACUGGGAUAACUUCGGGAAACCGUAGCUAAUACCGGAUAAUAUUUUGAACCGCAUGGUUCAAAAGUGAAAGACGGUCUUGCUGUCACUUAUAGAUGGAUCCGCGCUGCAUUAGCUAGUUGGUAAGGUAACGGCUUACCAAGGCAACGAUGCAUAGCCGACCUGAGAGGGUGAUCGGCCACACUGGAACUGAGACACGGUCCAGACUCCUACGAAAGGCAGCAGUAGGGAAUCUUCCGCAAUGGGCGAAAGCCUGACGGAGCAACGCCGCGUGAGUGAUGAAGGUCUUCGGAUCGUAAAACCCUGUUAUUAGGGAAGAACAUAUGUGUAAGUAACUGUGCACAUCUUGACGGUACCUAAUCAGAAAGCCACGGCUAACUACGUG
This 496-nucleotide ribosomal RNA is filed under the name uncultured bacterium. Its description in RNAcentral is "partial 16S ribosomal RNA". It matches the Rfam family "Bacterial small subunit ribosomal RNA", at positions 28 to 507 of the family's 1533-position model. The record is from RNAcentral.